GCCAGGAGCAGUGGCCCACACCUGUAACCCCAGCUGCUCAGGAGGCUGAGGCAGGAGGAUCACAAGUUCAAAGCCAGCCUCAGCAAAAGUGAAGUGCUGAGCAACUCAGUGAGACCCUGUCUCUA
RNAcentral lists this small RNA (125 nucleotides) under Marmota monax (woodchuck). The record is from RNAcentral. Lineage: Eukaryota; Metazoa; Chordata; Mammalia; Rodentia; Sciuridae.